Molecule: long non-coding RNA, 673 nt
Organism: Oncorhynchus keta (chum salmon)
Lineage: Eukaryota; Metazoa; Chordata; Actinopteri; Salmoniformes; Salmonidae
Exons: 3
Source: RefSeq, a predicted model, not a curated record
AGAGCAAGGUCAGCCCAGAGGAAAAGGAAGGUCAGCCCAGAGGAAAAGGAAGGUCAGCCCAGAGGAAAAGGAAGAGGAAGUUCAGCCUGGAGGAAGAGGAAGGUCAGCCUGGAGGAAGAGGAAGGUCAGCCCAGAGGAAAAGGGAGCGGAGAGGAAGGUCAGCCUAGAGGAAAAGGGAGAGGAAGUUCAGCCUGGAGGAAGAGGAAGGUCAGCCUGGAGGAAGAGGAAGGUCAGCCUGGAGGAAGAGGAAGGUCAGCCUGGAGGAAGAGGAAGGUCAGCCUGGAGGAAAAGGGAGAGGAAGGUCAGCCUAGAGGAAAAGGGAGAGGAAGUUCAGCCUGGAGGAAGAGGAAGGUCAGCCUGGAGGAAGAGGAAGGUCAGCCUGGAGGAAGAGGAAGGUCAGCCUGGAGGAAGAGGAAGGUCAGCCUGGAGGAAGAGGAAGGUCAGCCUGGAGGAAAAGGGAGAGGAAGGUCAGCCUAGAGGAAAAGGGAGAGGAAGGUCAGCCUGGAGGAAGAGGAAGGUCAGCCUGGAGGAAGAGGAAGGUCAGCCUAGAGGAAAAGGGAGAGGAAGGGCAGCCUAGAGGAAAAGGGAGAGGAAGGUCAGCCUGGAGGAAGAGGAAGGUCAGCCUAGAGGAAAAGGGAGAGGAAGGGCAGCCUAGAGGAAAAGGGAGAGGAAG